GAGUUUGAUCGUGGCUCAGAGCGAACGCUGGCGGCAGGCUUAACACAUGCAAGUCGAGCGGGCGUAGCAAUACGUCAGCGGCAGACGGGUGAGUAACACGUGGGAACGUACCUUUUGGUUCGGAACAACUGAGGGAAACUUCAGCUAAUACCGGAUAAGCCCUAACGGGAAAGAUUAUCGCCGAAAGAUCGGCCCGCGUCUGAUUAGCUAGUUGGUGAGGUAAUGGCUCACCAAGGCGACGAUCAGUAGCUGGUCUGAGAGGAUGAUCAGCCACACUGGGACUGAGACACGGCCCAGACUCCUACGGGAGGCAGCAGUGGGGAAUAUUGGACAAUGGGGGCAACCCUGAUCCAGCCAUGCCGCGUGAGUGAUGAAGGCCCUAGGGUUGUAAAGCUCUUUUGUGCGGGAAGAUAAUGACGGUACCGCAAGAAUAAGCCCCGACUAACUUCGUGCCAGCAGCCGCGGUAAC
RNAcentral lists this ribosomal RNA (469 nucleotides) under uncultured microorganism. Its description in RNAcentral is "bacterial SSU rRNA". It matches the Rfam family "Bacterial small subunit ribosomal RNA", at positions 9 to 524 of the family's 1533-position model. The record is from RNAcentral.